This 497-nucleotide ribosomal RNA is filed under the name uncultured bacterium. RNAcentral's name for it is "partial 16S ribosomal RNA". It matches the Rfam family "Bacterial small subunit ribosomal RNA", at positions 28 to 507 of the family's 1533-position model. The record is from RNAcentral.
GAUGAACGCUGGCGGCGUGCCUAAUACAUGCAAGUCGAGCGAACAGACGAGGAGCUUGCUCCUCUGACGUUAGCGGCGGACGGGUGAGUAACACGUGGAUAACCUACCUAUAAGACUGGGAUAACUUCGGGAAACCGGAGCUAAUACCGGAUAAUAUAUUGAACCGCAUGGUUCAAUAGUGAAAGACGGUUUUGCUGUCACUUAUAGAUGGAUCCGCGCCGCAUUAGCUAGUUGGUAAGGUAACGGCUUACCAAGGCAACGAUGCGUAGCCGACCUGAGAGGGUGAUCGGCCACACUGGAACUGAGACACGGUCCAGACUCCUACGGGAGGCAGCAGUAGGGAAUCUUCCGCAAUGGGCGAAAGCUUGACGUAGCAACGCCGCGUGAGUGAUGAAGGUCUUCUGAUCGUAAAACUCUGUUAUUAGGGAAGAACAAAUGUGUAAGUAACUAUGCACGUCUUGACGGUACCUAAUCAGAAAGCCACGGCUAACUACGUG